RNAcentral lists this ribosomal RNA (253 nucleotides) under uncultured bacterium. RNAcentral describes it as "partial 16S ribosomal RNA". It matches the Rfam family "Bacterial small subunit ribosomal RNA", at positions 524 to 776 of the family's 1533-position model. The record is from RNAcentral.
GACGAACCGUGCGAACGUUGUUCGGAAUCACUGGGCUUAAAGGGAGCGUAGGCGGGCUAUCAAGUCUGGGGUGAAAUCCCGCGGCUCAACCGCGGAACUGCCUCAGAUACUGACGGCCUCGAGGGGGAUAGGGGCAUGCGGAACUGUAGGUGGAGCGGUGAAAUGCGUUGAUAUCUACAGGAACUCCGGUGGCGAAAGCGGCGUGCUGGAUCCCUUCUGACGCUGAGGCUCGAAAGCUAGGGGAGCAAACGGG